This 63-nucleotide transfer RNA is filed under the name Paederus fuscipes. RNAcentral describes it as "tRNA-Asp". The record is from RNAcentral. Lineage: Eukaryota; Metazoa; Arthropoda; Insecta; Coleoptera; Staphylinidae.
AAAGAUUUAGUUAAUUUAUAAUAAUAAUUUGUCAAGUUAUAGUAAUCAAUUUGAUAUUCUUUA